CUAAGAGGGCCCUAGCGCGUGACCAAACGCCUGUGGAUCUGGAUUGGACUGUGCGGGCAUCCGUGGGCUUCCGUGAACCGUUAACUUCGGCGAGCAGAGAACAUGGCGGCUCCCUUUCCCGAGAGCUCAAAACUGACCUGGGAUGGAAAAGGAUAGUACUGCUCAGCCUAUGGGCCUGUAAUGAGAAGAGAGUGGACCCAGAACCAACUUCUAGACCUGCCAAACAAGAAGAAGCAGGAUGGACUGGACGGGAUUGCCAAAAACAAACUCCAAGGAUCCAGAUUGUGGCAGUGCUGCUAUUUUUCAGAGCCAGCACAUGUCCUUUGGGGAUUACCUGGCAGCUGUUUGGAAACCAGUCUCUUUAAUCCUGCUAUGAUGCCAAGAGGUAGCCCGGCAAUUCAGACCUUGCUUUGCUUGGAGCCGCUUUCUUUUCUGGCCAGCACUGAUGCCUUACAUCGAAGCUGAUGUGACUCAGCACCAAGUUUGGGCACCAAGAGGGUGUUUGUUAACUGGCAGCGCCAAAGAGGUCUCCUUUCCUUCCUCUACAUAAAGUGACUUUGUUUCUGCGCAGUGGUUACUUUGUUGAAAAUUAAGAGUUUUGACAGUUGGGGUGGGGGAAGAGAGUGCUUAAUGCAUGAACUUUACCAAGGUGUGUUUAAGAACACUUUGAACCUUUAGUUUCAUAGAUACCUCUGGUUCCUCUGUUGCUUUAUUAGCAUGGGUUUUAUCCAGAAGGUGGCAUCACAGAACCUGAAUUUCACUCACCAAAGGGUAAGAGAAAUUUACAUCUCUUUGUGAUUAGAAAUUAAGGAUGUAAACUUUAGAUAGCAUGUUGACUUUUCAGAGACUUUUUAUUCAUUCCUGUAAUUGGUUAAAUUACUUUAAAGCUGUGGAAGAUGAGGUCAUGAUGGUUUUCUACCCAGUGGAAACCCGAGGCCUGAGGUAUUUAGAAAAACCCAAACCCAUGUUCCUUCACCAAGUGAUGUGAGCAAGACUGGUUUAUUUACUAAUCAGAAACAGUUGUGAAACUGAACAGUAACUGUGAUGCCUUCUUCCCCUUCCACAUGCACUUGUGCCCACUGCCCAUCAAGGUACUCUUGGGUUCCUUCAUUGGAAGGAGGGAUCGGGAAGGCCUAAAUGGAUGGUUUAAUGGGUAAAUCUGCUGAGUAUUGGCACUUAAAAAUAAGUCGCAAGGUUGAGGACUCUCAAACGGUGAUCUUCUAAUGGGUGACCUUCUCACAAUCAGGACUCUCAGGAAAACAGAAGAUGAUCCUCCUCGGAAUUUGAGCUAGGAUCUGGUUUGCUGCUGCUUUCCCAGGCGUUCAGUGCUAGGCCAGGCAUGUCACUUAGCCUCAUGAGGCAUGUACUCAGUGAAUGUCUGCUCACUGGUAGGAAUAUGAAUGCUUUAUAAAUUCUUGGUUUAAAGUAUUCCUUUGGGUAUAUACCCCAGGCGAGAUUGCUAGAUCAGAUGGUAGGUCUAUUUUUAGUUUGGGGGAGGGACCUUCAUACUGUUUUUGACAGUGGCUGUACCAGUUUCCAUGAGAGAAUGCAUCCUGAACUAAAUGAGUUUCAUGACUGCUUUUCCGGCCGCCUUUGAUUGUCUGUUCUUUUCAGGAGAAGAGCUAUAGAAAUUAGGGGCUGAGACCGGGAAGAGCUUCCCUGAUCAGGAAAGAUGCAACGACUGGGCCUUCCCUGGGCUGCCUAAAGCCCAGAGAUGGGGCUGGGGCUGGGGCUGGGGCUGGGAAGGGUAGCCCUCUGGAGCAAGGCUGUCAGAGCAGGGGGAGAAAGCAGACUGCUGGAGGGCCUGGGCCCUCCGUGUGAAAGGGGUCUUGGACUGUGUGUCUGCAGGCCAGGCCCCUGCCCACUUCCCAACCCUAGUCCUGCCUGGGGUGGGCAGAGCACGGGGCCCAUCAUCGGGGGUGACGUGAGAAUCGGUGGCCUUCUGGGAAAGGGGAGGUUGUUACCAUGGAGGCGUUUCCCCAUCUUCCAGGAGUCCCAGGCAUUUGGGGCUUUGCUGCUGGGGAAGGUCUUGGCGUUUCUGCCUCGUGCUGUGUGGUGCCUUGGCCUGUGACAAGUGGCUCAGGAAAGGGGGCUCUUCACCCACCGGUCCUGUGGCCUAGACCAGGACUCUGGGGCUGUCUCAUGGGAGGCCCAUGCUGACGUUGGUUCUUUCUUGUGAAGAGUCAGGCCUGGUUGCGUGGACGGCUCCACUCUGUGAGCCGAAUUGCACAGAGAGCCUGGCGAAGGUGUGUCGCUGUGCGGGGGUGCUCUUCUGGGUCCCUGUCCAGAUGCCCCUUUCCAUUCCGUGGCUCAGAUGCCCUGGCGGGGCCUGCAGGAGGCACAUAGGGGCGAUGGAGCACCUGGGCUGUGGGAGAUGUUGGGUCUAGGGCAGAAGCAGAGCAUGGCCUGUGGUCAGGACUCCUUGGUGACAGGAAGGAGCUGAGCAGAAGAGUGUCCACUGUGCAUAGCAGUGGCUGGUGGGGAUCCUGAGGAACCACACCCGCACGUGUGGGGAUGUGGCUGGAGCUUCAUCAGAGCAUUUCCAUGUCGCGCCCUGCCCUCUCCUGCUGACUCCUCUGCAUAUUAGUUGGAAGCAAGAGGUCACAUGGGUGCUGUCCGUGUGCAGGAGCUGAAGUGGGGACGUGUGGGAAGCCCCCCUGUUCCGCUUGCCGAAGAGGGCCUACGCCCCCCGGCUGUCGCUGUUCCUUCUGUGUGUAUCUGCUGGGAGGCCUUGAUGCCUGCUGUUCUGGCCCCUGGGCUGUUUUGGUCUUGCUGUCGGGGGAGAUGAGGUUGCAUCAAGGGGCCUUUGUCUGCCCUCCCAAGACAGUGGGGGGUUUGUGUGGCAUGUGUGGGACUGUGUGUGGUCCUGCGCCCCUGGGGGUGGCGGGAGGAUCCAGGAGAUGAGUCUGGGGCAGGGAGGCUGCUCUGGUUUUCUUAUCUCAAGCUUCUGAUUAGCUUCGAUUCCUGAAACACGGAGCCACAGCCUAGGGAGAAAUAAAGUGGUAAUGAGAAUAUAAGCGGGGGCUGCCGGUGGGCAGGACCCAAGGCUUUGGGUGUGCAAGGUGGGGGGGCAUUGCGGCUUCAGGGCUGUUUCUCCUGUCCCCUUUCUUCAUUCUCCCACACACCUUUGGGUCAGUAUAUUUGGGGGACAGAAGAUAACCAUGGGCACUGACGAAUAUGCUAUGAAAAAAUGUGGCUCUCUUGUAAAUUUGAGACAUUUCUUAUGGAACAGGGUUAUUUUCCAUUUUCCAAGUGAAUCGUGCUCUGUCUGCAGCGGAUGACUUUGCUGUCUCAUCCUUAUUCUGUGUUGCCGCAGGCCUGUGAAGGAUGGCCACUGUGACAGGGGAGCCCUUCAUCCUGCUAGACUUUUGCACAGUCUAUAAUCUGAGGGAGUUCUGAGAAGGAACUGCUGUUGCUUAUGCUGUUUUUCUCCGGACAUAUUUCCCUCCUUUUUCCUGUAGCUUUAUGGGCUCUUAGGCAGUGCUUUAUGGUGUCCAUUUCCUCCUGUUCUUUGUGAGGGUCUAGGUGAGUUUCUGAUUUCAGCUCCUCAAGUUGUUCCCUCUUUACCUAGUUCUCACUUAUUGCCAGGGGUUUGGGUGCCAGGUCCUUCAAGGGACAUUCUGGGUUGUCGCAUUACCAAAAAGCUUAUUUAGCUUCAAGAAAAAGAUUUGCAUACAUUGCAAAGAGGCAGAGAAAGAGCUGAUAAGUUUUCCAAGGUGAAUGUUUUAAGGGAAAAGAAAGGCCGUUUCCCUUUUUUCAACAGGGAUUCUUUAACUUUUCUUAUUUUUUUGCCCUUACAACAUGCUCCCAUGAGACACCUGGUCCCCUGGGUAUUGGCACCCUGCUCCCAGUUGCUGAUUCCGGAGCCCUGCCAAAGUCAGGCCUGUGCAGAGGACUUCCUCAGGAGGAGCUCGUGCCAAAAGCACCUGAAGGACAAGUGAUCAGUAUGCGUGACUGCUCAUCCUCUGGGCUGCUUUUACCCGUGCCUCUGUCCUCAGGGGGAGUUCUCUGGGAUCUCUAGGAUCAGUUGGAAUGAGGAUUAAAACUACAGACCUUGUGUUGAGAGGGUGUAAACUGAUACCCUGAUGUCACUGGUGUGUUGGCAGGCGGAGCUGGGCUUUCCCUCUCCUAUCCUCCCUUUCUUGAGUCUCCAGAGGAGCACCUGGCAGAGAUGUCAUCUCUGUGUCUUGGGAUACAUGGGACCUGAUAGAAUAUGUAGUAGGAGGCGAGGACUCAGAUCCCACGUUAUGAAUGUUUAGUGUGCAGCCCUGUCAAACAGGGUGGAAAGAGUGUGCAAAAUGUGUGCCCUCCUAUGUAGCUUGAAUGAUCUCUGAUGCCUCUGGAUUUGAAUUUGCCCUCGCAGCCCUUCAGCUGACACAAUAAAGGGAUUUCCGAGUGUCGCCAGUCAGGCCCCUUCACAGUUUAGAUUUGGGUUGGCCUUCUCAGCUUCCCUUCCCUCUUCUUACUCAUGUGCAGGCCUACUGUACUGCUUCAUAUCAAGUUUGGAUAAGAACAGCAGUGGGCUCUGUUGAAUGAAUCCUAAGGAGAUGCUCUGAUUUGCUCAGUCUGCCCCAGCAGUCAGACAUAGCAGCCUUCCUGAAUGCUGAAAGGCCUGUCGUAGACUCGACUCUAGUGAUUAUAGGUUGUACAGUCAGGGUACUGAGCUACGGGAUGUAGGAUGUAGUUAAAGCUGGGAACCAAGACGUGCGCGUCUCCUCCUGAGCUCAGAGUUUGAAGUAUUGUGUAUAGAAAAAUGUGCUGAGAGUAAAUCUUAUUCUACCUUCUGUCAUGUUCUUAUUACCAAAAAAUAAUAAUAUGAAUUAGUGAGGGUGGAAUGAAACUUAACAGGGGUUGGGUAUGUUUAAGGCAUAGAUUAUGAUGAUGGUUCGUGGAGGUAUACUUAUCUCCAGACUCAUUAAGUUGUAUGUAUUAAGUAUGUGCAGCUUUCUGUAUGUCAGUCAUACCUUCAUAACCUCAAUAAAGUGGUUUAAAAAUAAUAACAAAAAAGACCCUCUUGUGGUUACAGAUGUAUACUCCCCCUCAAGUGUCUUGAGGUUUUAGAACUGAAAGGGAAGAAUGCUUCUACACUGGGAAAUGGGUAAUGCUAUUUACUACUCUGUAUUAUUGUUUUGCCUUGGUUUUUCUAUGUAUGCAUAGCAUUUGCAUUGGCACAUAUAAGGUUAACCUUUAGUCCAUAGGAUUUUGAAUUUUGUAGAAUCACAGUACUUCUGCGAAAGCUGUGAACUUCACCUGGAGGACUUCAGCUCAAGGAGUGGCCUGUGACAUCAGCUAUUUGUCAUUUGACCAGAAAUUGACUUUGGGUCCUGUGCCUUUGGGAAUGGCUUGGACUUUGGGUUGGUUUUGUUUCUUAUAAUAUGUGCUUUUGUGCUUACCUGAGAAAUCUUUUAAAAUGUUUUACACAUGGGGACACGUCAAGGUGUAAAAUAUUUUACAUAUGGGGACACGUCAAGGUGUAAAAUAUUUUACAUGUGGGGACACGUCAAGGUGUAUAUGUACUGUAUCUGUAUCCUAUAGGGUGGAAGGUAGUGUCUCAGGCUGGUUGGUCUCUGCAGCAGGCCUCUUUUCUCUGAGGUCUUCCCACCACCUUCUGUUUUCUGUGUGACUGAGUUCCUUGGCCUUAGCUACUCAGUUUGAUACUUUUCAUCUUAUCCUAGUUGAGCAAACCAUGCUUCUGUUAUAUUUAGAGUUUGGGACUAGAUGCCAAGAAUGGGUGCUAGGCUAGCCUGCAAAGGCUCAUUAAUAACCUUUCACUGCAGAAAAUAUCAUGUAAAAGACAUAUUGUUGGGUUUCCCUGGGUUAUCCUCAUUUCUGUGUCUUUAGAAUGUAUUUGCUGCUUAAGCUUCUUGUAUUUUGUAAAAUACUUGUGUUCUUCCAAUAAAAUUUGUUUCAGAAGA
Phacochoerus africanus (Common warthog) is the source of this 5915-nucleotide long non-coding RNA. RefSeq lists it as uncharacterized. The transcript is spliced from 4 exons. NCBI's taxonomy places the organism in Eukaryota, Metazoa, Chordata, Mammalia, Artiodactyla, Suidae. The record is from RefSeq and is a predicted model, not a curated record.